GCCUAAUACAUGCAAGUUGAGCGCUGAAGGUUGGUACUUGUACCAACUGGAUGAGCAGCGAACGGGUGAGUAACGCGUGGAGAAUCUGCCUUUGAGCGGGGGACAACAUUUGGAAACGAAUGCUAAUACCGCAUAAAAACUUUAAACACAAGUUUUAAGUUUGAAAGAUGCAAUUGCAUCACUCAAAGAUGAUCCCGCGUUGUAUUAGCUAGUUGGUGAGGUAAAGGCUCACCAAGGCGAUGAUACAUAGCCGACCUGAGAGGGUGAUCGGCCACAUUGGGACUGAGACACGGCCCAAACUCCUACGGGAGGCAGCAGUAGGGAAUCUUCGGCAAUGGACGAAAGUCUGACCGAGCAACGCCGCGUGAGUGAAGAAGGUUUUCGGAUCGUAAAACUCUGUUGGUAGAGAAGAACGUUGGUGAGAGUGGAAAGCUCAUCAAGUGACGGUAACUACCCAGAAAGGGACGGCUAACUACGUGCCAGCAGCCGCGGUAAUACGUAGGUCCCGAGCGUUGUCCGGAUUUAUUGGGCGUAAAGCGAGCGCAGGUGGUUUAUUAAGUCUGGUGUAAAAGGCAGUGGCUCAACCAUUGUAUGCAUUGGAAACUGGUAGACUUGAGUGCAGGAGAGGAGAGUGGAAUUCCAUGUGUAGCAGUGAAAUGCGUAGAUAUAUGGAGGAACACCGGUGGCGAAAGCGGCUCUCUGGCCUGUAACUGACACUGAGGCUCGAAAGCGUGGGGAGCAAACAGGAUUAGAUACCCUGGUAGUCCACGCCGUAAACGAUGAGUGCUAGAUGUAGGGAGCUAUAAGUUCUCUGUAUCGCAGCUAACGCAAUAAGCACUCCGCCUGGGGAGUACGACCGCAAGGUUGAAACUCAAAGGAAUUGACGG
RNAcentral lists this ribosomal RNA (887 nucleotides) under uncultured Lactococcus sp. Its description in RNAcentral is "bacterial SSU rRNA". It matches the Rfam family "Bacterial small subunit ribosomal RNA", at positions 46 to 916 of the family's 1533-position model. The record is from RNAcentral. Lineage: Bacteria; Bacillati; Bacillota; Bacilli; Lactobacillales; Streptococcaceae.